This 461-nucleotide ribosomal RNA is filed under the name uncultured bacterium. RNAcentral's name for it is "partial 16S ribosomal RNA". It matches the Rfam family "Bacterial small subunit ribosomal RNA", at positions 339 to 795 of the family's 1533-position model. The record is from RNAcentral.
CUACGGGUUGCUGCCGUAAGGAAUAUUGGGCAAUGGACGCAAGUCUGACCCAGCCAUGCCGCGUGCAGGAUGACAGCCCUACGGGUUGUAAACUGCUUUUAUACGGGAAAAAUUCCCUGGUCGUGCACCGGGGUUGAUGGUACCGUAAGAAUAAGCAUCGGCUAGACUCCGUGCCAGCAGCCGCGGUAAUACGGAGGAUGCAAGCGUUAUCCGGAUUCAUUGGGUUUAAAGGGUGCGCAGGCGGAAUGAUAAGUCAGUGGUGAAAUCCUACGGCUCAACUGUAGAACUGCCAUUGAUACUGUUGUUCUUGAGUACAUUUGAAGUGGGCGGAAUGUGUCAUGUAGCGGUGAAAUGCUUAGAGAUGACACAGAACACCGAUUGCGAAGGCAGCUCACUAAACUGUAACUGACGCUGAGGCACGAAAGCGUGGGGAUCAAACAGGAUUAGAUACCCUGGUAGUC